GCUCCCGUGGUGUAGUGGUUAUCACGUCUGCUUUACACGCAGAAGGUCCCAGGUUCGAGCCCUGGUGGGAGCA
RNAcentral lists this transfer RNA (73 nucleotides) under Portunus trituberculatus (swimming crab). RNAcentral's name for it is "tRNA-Val". It matches the Rfam family "tRNA". From Rfam's summary of the family: Transfer RNA (tRNA) molecules are approximately 80 nucleotides in length. Their secondary structure includes four short double-helical elements and three loops (D, anti-codon, and T loops). Further hydrogen bonds mediate the characteristic L-shaped molecular structure. tRNAs have two regions of fundamental functional importance: the anti-codon, which is responsible for specific mRNA codon recognition, and the 3' end, to which the tRNAs corresponding amino acid is attached (by aminoacyl-tRNA synthetases). tRNAs cope with the degeneracy of the genetic code in two manners: having more than one tRNA (with a specific anti-codon) for a particular amino acid; and 'wobble' base-pairing, i.e. permitting non-standard base-pairing at the 3rd anti-codon position. Lineage: Eukaryota; Metazoa; Arthropoda; Malacostraca; Decapoda; Portunidae. The record is from RNAcentral.